AAAAUUAGAGUGUUCAAAGCAGGCAGAUCCAAUUUUCUGCCACCGAAUACAUUAGCAUGGGAUAAUGGAAUAGGACCCUGUCCUCCUAUUUUCAGUUGGUUUUGGCAGCGCGAGGACUAGGGUAAUGAUUAAUAGGGAUAGUUGGGGGCAUUAAUAUUUAAUUGUCAGAGGUGAAAUUCUUGGAUUUAUGAAAGAUUAACUUCUGCGAAAGCAUCUGCCAAGGAUGUUUUCAUUAAUCAAGAACGAAAGUUAGGGGAUCGAAGACGAUCAGAUACCGUCGUAGUCUUAACCAUAAACGAUGCCGACCAGCGAUUAGGAGACGUUGAAUACAAAACACCACCAUCGGCGCGGUCGUCCUUGGCGUCGGUCCUUCACGGGGCCGGCGCGAGGGCGGCUAGCCCG
Molecule: ribosomal RNA, 402 nt
Filed under: Acanthamoeba sp.
Lineage: Eukaryota; Discosea; Longamoebia; Acanthamoebidae
Description: SSU rRNA
Rfam family: Eukaryotic small subunit ribosomal RNA
Source: RNAcentral